RNAcentral lists this ribosomal RNA (567 nucleotides) under uncultured bacterium. Its description in RNAcentral is "bacterial SSU rRNA". It matches the Rfam family "Bacterial small subunit ribosomal RNA", at positions 348 to 916 of the family's 1533-position model. The record is from RNAcentral.
GCAGCAGUGAGGAAUAUUGGUCAAUGGGCGCAAGCCUGAACCAGCCAUGUAGCGUGAAGGAUGACGGUUUUUUUGAUUGUAAACUUCUUUUCUGUGCGAUUAAAGUGUGGCAUUUAUGCCAUAUUGCAGUUAUCUCAGGAAUAAGCAUCGGCUAACUCCGUGCCAGCAGCCGCGGUAAUACGGAGGAUGCGAGCGUUAUCCGGAUUUAUUGGGUUUAAAGGGAGCGUAGAUGGUUUUUUAAGUCAGCUGUCAAAUGUAUGGGCUCAACCCUUAUUAUCAGUUGAAACUGUAAGACUUGAGUGCGGUGUGGGUACAUGGAAUUCGUGGUGUAGCGGGGAAAUGCAUAGAUAUCACGAAGAACUCCGAAAGCGUAGGCAUUGUACCAUAGCGCCACUGACAUUGAUGCUCGAAGGUGCGGGAAUCAAACAGGAUUAGAUACCCUGGUAGUCCGCACAGUAAACGAUGAAUGCUCGACGUUGUCGAUAUACUGUCAGCGUCCAAGCGAAAGCGUUAAGCAUUCCACCUGGGGAGUACGCCGGCAACGGUGAAACUCAAAUGAAUUGACGG